UCGCUCGUAUGUACUCGUACGUACUCCUAUGUACUCCUAUGUACUCCUAUGUACUCGUGUGGUGUUUUAGUCACGAUCAACCCUUAGCAACUUGUAAUGCUGUAGUUGCACAUCAAUCUAACAAAGUUACAAAUUCAAACAACAACAAUUGCUUCCUAAAAACAAAUCACUGUCAUUUGAAGCCAGGUUCAUAAAGCCAUCUUUAUUGCUACAAACACUUUAUCUGACAUCAUUGAGAAAUGGCAAACUUGUGAUUCAAAUAUGGACAACUUUGUGUAAAGCUCAAGGUACCAAACACUUGCCUUUCAUAUCUGUGCAUACAAAGCGAAAAAAAGACUUUCUUAGGUGAACUUAUUUGAAUUGCACUUUGUUUUAAUACUGAUGUGUGCUACAUGUUUUGCUUAAACAUUUUUAACAACUUACAUGACGUUUCAAGUGCAA
Long non-coding RNA from Xenia sp. Carnegie-2017, 441 nucleotides. RefSeq lists it as uncharacterized. The record is from RefSeq and is a predicted model, not a curated record. Lineage: Eukaryota; Metazoa; Cnidaria; Anthozoa; Malacalcyonacea; Xeniidae. The transcript has 2 exons.